ACCCAGACUCCUACGGGAGGCAGCAGUGGGGAAUAUUGCACAAUGGGGGAAACCCUGAUGCAGCGACGCCGCGUGAGUGAAGAAGUAUUUCGGUAUGUAAAGCUCUAUCAGCAGGAAAGAAAAUGACGGUACCUGACUAAGAAGCCCCGGCUAACUACGUGCCAGCAGCCGCGGUAAUACGUAGGGGGCAAGCGUUAUCCGGAUUUACUGGGUGUAAAGGGAGCGUAGACGGUGAAGCAAGUCUGAAGUGAAAGGCGGGGGCUCAACCCCCGGACUGCUUUGGAAACUGUUUGACUGGAGUGCAGGAGAGGUAAGUGGAAUUCCUAGUGUAGCGGUGAAAUGCGUAAAUAUUAGGAGGAACACCAGUGGCGAAGGCGGCCUGCUGGGCUUUAACUGACGCUGAGGCUCGAAAGCGUGGGUAGCAAACAGGAUUAGAUACCCGUGUA
This 446-nucleotide ribosomal RNA is filed under the name uncultured bacterium. RNAcentral's name for it is "partial 16S ribosomal RNA". It matches the Rfam family "Bacterial small subunit ribosomal RNA", at positions 329 to 792 of the family's 1533-position model. The record is from RNAcentral.